Molecule: ribosomal RNA, 409 nt
Filed under: uncultured microorganism
Description: bacterial SSU rRNA
Rfam family: Bacterial small subunit ribosomal RNA
Source: RNAcentral
CAGCAGCCGCGGUAAUACGUAGGUGGCAAGCGUUGUCCGGAAUUAUUGGGCGUAAAGCGCGCGCAGGCGGUUCCUUAAGUCUGAUGUGAAAUCUCGCGGCUCAACCGUGAGCGGUCAUUGGAAACUGGGGAACUUGAGUGCAGGAGAGAAGAGCGGAAUUCCACGUGUAGCGGUGAAAUGCGUAGAGAUGUGGAGGAACACCAGUGGCGAAGGCGGCUCUUUGGCCUGUAACUGACGCUGAGGCGCGAAAGCGUGGGGAGCAAACAGGAUUAGAUCCCCUGGUAGUCCACGCCGUAAACGAUGAGUGCUAGGUGUUAGAGGGUUUCCGCCCUUUAGUGCUGCAGCUAACGCAUUAAGCACUCCGCCUGGGGAGUACGGCCGCAAGGCUGAAACUUAAAGAAUUGGCGGG